Molecule: ribosomal RNA, 552 nt
Filed under: uncultured bacterium
Lineage: Bacteria
Description: partial 16S ribosomal RNA
Rfam family: Bacterial small subunit ribosomal RNA
Source: RNAcentral
UAGGGAAUCUUCCACAAUGGACGCAAGUCUGAUGGAGCAACGCCGCGUGAGUGAAGAAGGUUUUCGGACCGUAAAGCUCUGUUGUUGGUGAAGAAGGAUAGAGGUAGUAACUGGCCUUUAUUUGACGGUAAUCAACCAGAAAGUCACGGCUAACUACGUGCCAGCAGCCGCGGUAAUACGUAGGUGGCAAGCGUUGUCCGGAUUUAUUGGGCGUAAAGCGAGCGCAGGCGGAGGAAUAAGUCUGAUGUGAAAGCCCUCGGCUUAACCGAGGAAUUGCAUCGGAAACUGUUUUCUUGAGUGCAGAAGAGGAGAGUAGAACUCCAUGUGUAGCGGUGGAAUGCGUAGAUAUAUGGAAGAAUACCAGUGGCGAAGGCGGCUCUCUGGUCUGCAACUGACGCUGAGGCUCGAAAGCAUGGGUAGCGAACAGGAUUAGAUACCCUGGUAGUCCAUGCCGUAAACGAUGAGUGCUAAGUGUUGGGAGGCUUCCGCCUCUCAGUGCUGCAGCUAACGCAUUAAGCACUCCGCCUGGGGGAGUACGACCGCAAGGUUGAA